CCUCCACAAGAAGCCCCGGCUAACUACGUGCCAGCAGCCGCGGUAAUACGUAGGGGGCAAGCGUUGUCCGGAAUCAUUGGGCGUAAAGAGCGUGUAGGCGGUCCGGUAAGUCGGCUGUGAAAGUCCAGGGCUCAACUCUGGGAUGCCGGUCGAUACUGCCGGACUAGAGUUCGGAAGAGGCGAGUGGAAUUCCCGGUGUAGCGGUGAAAUGCGCAGAUAUCGGGAGGAACACCUAUGGCGAAGGCAGCUCGCUGGGACGUUACUGACGCUGAGACGCGAAAGCGUGGGGAACAAACAGGAUUAGAUACCCUGGUAGUCCACGCCGUAAACGAUGGGCACUAGGUGUGGGAGGUGUCGACUCCUCCCGUGCCGGAGCUAACGCAUUAAGUGCCCCGCCUGGGGA
RNAcentral lists this ribosomal RNA (403 nucleotides) under uncultured bacterium. RNAcentral's name for it is "bacterial SSU rRNA". It matches the Rfam family "Bacterial small subunit ribosomal RNA", at positions 478 to 879 of the family's 1533-position model. The record is from RNAcentral.